This 542-nucleotide ribosomal RNA is filed under the name uncultured bacterium. RNAcentral describes it as "partial 16S ribosomal RNA". It matches the Rfam family "Bacterial small subunit ribosomal RNA", at positions 355 to 887 of the family's 1533-position model. The record is from RNAcentral.
UGGGGAAUAUUGCACAAUGGGCGCAAGCCUGAUGCAGCCAUGCCGCGUGUGUGAAGAAGGCCUUCGGGUUGUAAAGCGCUUUCAGCGAGGAGGAAGGUGGUGAGCUUAAUACGCUCAUCAAUUGACGUUACUCGCAGAAGAAGCACCGGCUAACUCCGUGCCAGCAGCCGCGGUAAUACGGAGGGUGCAAGCGUUAAUCGGAAUUACUGGGCGUAAAGCGCACGCAGGCGGUUUGUUAAGUCAGAUGUGAAAUCCCCGGGCUCAACCUGGGAACUGCAUUUGAAACUGGCAAGCUAGAGUCUCGUAGAGGGGGGUAGAAUUCCAGGUGUAGCGGUGAAAUGCGUAGAGAUCUGGAGGAAUACCGGUGGCGAAGGCGGCCCCCUGGACGAAGACUGACGCUCAGGUGCGAAAGCGUGGGGCAGCAAACAGGAUUAGAUACCCUGGUAGUCCACGCUGUAAACGAUGUCGAUUUUGGAGGUUGUGCCCUUGAGGCGUGGCUUCCGGAGCUAACGCGUUAAAUCGACCGCCUGGGGAGUACGGCC